This 408-nucleotide ribosomal RNA is filed under the name uncultured bacterium. Its description in RNAcentral is "partial 16S ribosomal RNA". It matches the Rfam family "Bacterial small subunit ribosomal RNA", at positions 29 to 526 of the family's 1533-position model. The record is from RNAcentral.
AGUGAACGCUGGCGGCGUGCCUAAUACAUGCAAGUCGAACGAAGUGGCCCACGGGUGAGUAAUAUAUAGUUAAUCUGCCCUACACCGAGGAACAACAGUUGGAAACGACUGCUAAUACCUCAUAGUGCAGGAUGAGACUAUAUCGUAUCAGCUAGUUGGUAAGGUAAUGGCUUACCAAGUCUAUGACGCGUAACUGGUCUGAGAGGAUGAUCAGCCAAAUUGUAAUGGAGACACGGUCCAAACGCCUACUGGAGGCAGCAGUAAGGAAUAUUACGCAAUGGGGGACACCCUGAUUAAUCAACGCCGCGUGGAGGAUGACACUUUUGGGAGCGUACAAUCCUUUUAUCAGGAAAGCGGGACCUGAUGAUUAAGCACCGGCUAACUCCGUGCGAGCAGGCGCGGUAAUAC